GACGAACGCUGGAGGCGUGCUUAACACAUGCAAGUCGAACGAUGAAAUGGAGCUUGCUCCAUGGAUUAGUGGCGAACGGGUGAGUAACACGUGAAUAACCUGGCCUUAAUUUUGGAAUAACCCAGGGAAACCUGGGCUAAUACCGGAGAAGUAAACCUGUGGCAUCACAUGGUUGUGGAAAGGUUUACGAUUAAGGAUGGAUUCGCGGCCUCUGAGCUGGUUGGUGAGGUAAUGGCUCACCUAGGCGACGGCGGGUAGCCGGCCUGCGAGGGGGAACGGCCACACUGGGACUGAGACACGGCGCAGAAUCCUACGGGAGGCAGCAGUUUGGAAUAUUGAGCAAUGGGCGAGAGUCUGACGCAGCGACGCCUCGUGGGGGACGAAGGUCUUCGGAUUGUAAACCUCUUUCAGCAGGGACGAAGCGAAAGUGCCGGUACCUGCAGAAGAAGCACCGGCUAACUAUGUGCCAGCCGCCGCAGUAA
This 482-nucleotide ribosomal RNA is filed under the name uncultured bacterium. RNAcentral's name for it is "partial 16S ribosomal RNA". It matches the Rfam family "Bacterial small subunit ribosomal RNA", at positions 28 to 523 of the family's 1533-position model. The record is from RNAcentral.